RNAcentral lists this unclassified non-coding RNA (503 nucleotides) under Panonychus citri (citrus red mite). Lineage: Eukaryota; Metazoa; Arthropoda; Arachnida; Trombidiformes; Tetranychidae. The record is from RNAcentral.
ACUCUAACAUGGCCGGUGACCCUUCGGCUCGGGCCACUUUUGUCUCUUCUGUCAUGGCCUUUCUUGAAAAGUACAAUUUCGACGGUCUCGAUGUAGACUGGGAAUAUCCCGCUUCGAGAGGAGGAAAACCCGAAGACAGGUCAAACUUUGCUCUUCUCCUCAAAGAUUUAAGUUCAGCUUUCAAACCCAAAGGUUACCUAUUGACCGCAGCCGUUUCGGCCGGAAAAUGGAACAUCGAUCCAGCCUAUGAUGUACCGAAAGUAUCAGAGUACCUCGACUAUAUCAAUGUGAUGUGUUAUGAUUAUCACGGUGGUUGGGAGGAUAAAACAGGUCACAAUGCUCCGUUAUAUGCAAGGCCCGUCGAGGUCGCCAACGAAAGGCUAAACAACGUUAAUUUUUCAGUUAAUUAUUGGCUUUCUCAAGGAGCAUCCAGAUCAAAACUGGUCGUGGGUAUGGCAACGUACGGACGAUCAUUCACCUUAGCACGGGAACAGGAUAACGGU